GAUGAACGCUGGCGGCGUGCUUAACACAUGCAAGUCGAACGGGAAUUCUUUUAUUGACACUUCGGUCGAUUUAAUUUAAUUCUAGUGGCGGACGGGUGAGUAACGCGUGGGUAACCUGCCUUAUACAGGGGGAUAACAGUCAGAAAUGGCUGCUAAUACCGCAUAAGCGCACAGAGCUGCAUGGCUCAGUGUGAAAAACUCCGGUGGUAUAAGAUGGACCCGCGUUGGAUUAGCUGGUUGGUGGGGUAACGGCCCACCAAGGCGACGAUCCAUAGCCGGCCUGAGAGGGUGAACGGCCACAUUGGGACUGAGACACGGCCCAGACUCCUACGGGAGGCAGCAGUGGGGAAUAUUGCACAAUGGGGGAAACCCUGAUGCAGCGACGCCGCGUGAAGGAAGAAGUAUCUCGGUAUGUAAACUUCUAUCAGCAGGGAAGAUAGUGACGGUACCUGACUAAGAAGCCCCGGCUAACUACGUG
RNAcentral lists this ribosomal RNA (478 nucleotides) under uncultured bacterium. Its description in RNAcentral is "partial 16S ribosomal RNA". It matches the Rfam family "Bacterial small subunit ribosomal RNA", at positions 28 to 507 of the family's 1533-position model. The record is from RNAcentral.